This 468-nucleotide ribosomal RNA is filed under the name uncultured bacterium. RNAcentral's name for it is "partial 16S ribosomal RNA". It matches the Rfam family "Bacterial small subunit ribosomal RNA", at positions 28 to 507 of the family's 1533-position model. The record is from RNAcentral.
GACGAACGCUGGCGGCGUGCUUAACACAUGCAAGUCGAACGGAAAGGCCCUGCUUUUGUGGGGUUCUCGAGUGGCGAACGGGUGAGUAACACGUGAGUAACCUGCCCUUGACUUUGGGAUAACUUCAGGAAACUGGGGCUAAUACCGGAUAGGAUCUCCUGCUGCAUGGUGGGGGUUGGAAAGUUUCGGCGGUUGGGGAUGGACUCGCGGCUUAUCAGCUUGUUGGUGGGGUAGUGGCUUACCAAGGCUUUGACGGGUAGCCGGCAUGAGAGGGUGAACGGGCACAUUGGGACUGAGGUACGGACCAGACUGGAACGGGCGGCAGCAGUGGAGAGUCUGGCACAAUGGGCGGAAGCCUGAUGUAGAAACGCCGCGUGCGGGAUGCCGGCCUUCGGGUUGUAAACCGCUUUGGCAGGAGACGAAGAGGGCGUGACGGUAAUGGGUAAAGAAGCACCGGCUAACUACGUG